RNAcentral lists this ribosomal RNA (492 nucleotides) under uncultured bacterium. RNAcentral describes it as "partial 16S ribosomal RNA". It matches the Rfam family "Bacterial small subunit ribosomal RNA", at positions 29 to 507 of the family's 1533-position model. The record is from RNAcentral.
AGUGAACGCUGGCGGUAGGCCUAACACAUGCAAGUCGAACGGCAGCACAGUAAGAGCUUGCUCUUACGGGUGGCGAGUGGCGGACGGGUGAGGAAUACAUCGGAAUCUACUUUUUCGUGGGGGAUAACGUAGGGAAACUUACGCUAAUACCGCAUACGACCUACGGGUGAAAGCAGGGGAUCUUCGGCCCUUGCGCGAUUGAAUGAGCCGAUGUCGGAUUAGCUAGUUGGCGGGGUAAAGACCCACCAAGGCGACGAUCCGUAGCUGGUCUGAGAGGAUGAUCAGCCACACUGGAACUGAGACACGGUCCAGACUCCUACGGGAGGCAGCAGUGGGGAAUAUUGGACAAUGGGCGCAAGCCUGAUCCAGCCAUACCGCGUGGGUGAAGAAGGCCUUCGGGUUGUAAAGCCCUUUUGUUGGGAAAGAAAAGCAGCAGGUUAAUACCCCGCUGUUCUGACGUUACCCAAAGAAUAAGCACCGGCUAACUUCGUG